Molecule: ribosomal RNA, 477 nt
Filed under: uncultured Pseudomonadota bacterium
Lineage: Bacteria; Pseudomonadati; Pseudomonadota
Description: bacterial SSU rRNA
Rfam family: Bacterial small subunit ribosomal RNA
Source: RNAcentral
UUGAACGCUGGCGGUAGGCUUAACACAUGCAAGUCGUGCGAGAAAGUAUCUUCGGAUACGAGUAGAGCGGCGGACGGGUGAGUAACGCGUAGGAAUCUACCUAGUAGAAGGGGAUAGCCCGGGGAAACUCGGAUUAAUACCGUAUACCUCCUUUGGGAGAAAGAGGGCCUCUCUUUGAAGCUUUCGCUACUAGAUGAGCCUGCGUAAGAUUAGCUUGUUGGUGAGGUAACUGCUUACCAAGGCUACGAUCUUUAGCUGGUCUGAGAGGACGAUCAGCCACAUUGGGACUGAGACACGGCCCAGACUCCUACGGGAGGCAGCAGUGGGGAAUAUUGGACAAUGGGCGCAAGCCUGAUCCAGCCAUACCGCGUGUGUGAAGAAGGCCUUCGGGUUGUAAAGCACUUUAAGCAGGGAGAAAAAGUUGUAAGUUAAUACCUUAGAACCGUGAUGUUACCUGCAGAAUAAGCACCGGCUAAU